RNAcentral lists this long non-coding RNA (336 nucleotides) under Trifolium pratense (red clover). RNAcentral's name for it is "long non-coding RNA (TPRA_LNC009190)". Lineage: Eukaryota; Viridiplantae; Streptophyta; Magnoliopsida; Fabales; Fabaceae. The record is from RNAcentral.
CUCACGGGAAUCAUCAUUUUGACUUGAAAAUUGUUCUUCGGCGUCUGGUUCCAUCCCAGGUGGUUUAAAAGAGGAAUUUCAACUGCAUAAUCAACAAAACUGAAUUCAAAGCAACACUAACCCUAAACCUUUAUGAACAAUUUCAGGUGGUUUAUUAUUUAUACUAAGAAUGAGCAAUUUCCUAUUCUACAAAGAGGAAUUUAAACAACAAACCUUGAUAUUUUGUAAAGAAGGAGACCGAUUCUUUGCUCAACUGAACCGUGAAAUUGCAGAGAAAUUGAAAGAAAUUGAAAGAUUUUGUGGUCGAGGGAAACGUGAUUUCGAUGAUUAAUCACC